ACCCAAGGCGAGAUAGGCUCC
Molecule: small nuclear RNA, 21 nt
Filed under: Arabidopsis thaliana (thale cress)
Lineage: Eukaryota; Viridiplantae; Streptophyta; Magnoliopsida; Brassicales; Brassicaceae
Description: snRNA_04837
Source: RNAcentral